AAAAAAAUUAAUCAAAAACCCUAAUGAAUCUCUUUAUAUUUCCAAGAUCUCUUAGUUCAUCAUCAUCAUCAUCAUCAUCAUGAACUCAAUCUCAAAAGCUUAUCGUAAAAACUCAGGCACUCUCAUCACCACCAGGUCUUGAUUCUUCAUCUUCUUUGAUUAGAUUGCCUCAAAGAAGUAAUGCCGUAAUCAGAUCACCACAUAUUGAUGAAAAAUCAAUUUGAAAUGAGAAUUCAGAAUCAAUAUCAAUUUGAAUUGAAAAGACAGCGGAUGUGCGAUGGAUGUGCGAUGCUCAGAUUGAACUUCAGCUUACGUUCGGAUCAUCUUAAACGGGAGCGGCUUCCCACUCCAAAGAAUUAAUGAACAUGGGAUGCGUGACUCUUGGACUACACAUGAGCAGAUAUUCACUUUGCAAGUCUCUUUGGUCUUCAGAAUAUGGUGCAAUGCUCUUCAUUUGACUCUUGGACUAGACAUGAGCAGUUUCCACCUAGUUUCACAUUUCACGGUGUUUUGCACAAUGCUCUUCAUUGGACAAGCGAUGCCUCCAAUUAUAUAGUCUCUUUUGAUAUUAGUAAUGAGAAAUUCAUGGAUGCACCUCUACCAGAAAAAAGUAUUAGACAUCCAGAAUAUAGCAACACGGAAUUGUGUAAGAACUUGGGAGUACUGGGAGACUACCUAAGUUUAGUUUUAGUCGGAAAAAAAGCUUGUCCAAGUAGAAGUAUGGGUAAGCAGGAUUAUGGAGAGAAAAUCUUUGAAUAACUCAAAAACCAAUUACCAAUUAUCCUCACUGUAUGGUUGUGUUGUCACUUGAAAAUGGCGAAAUUCUAAUGUAUACCUAUGACGGUUCUGUUU
This is a long non-coding RNA of Papaver somniferum (opium poppy), 852 nucleotides long. RefSeq lists it as uncharacterized. The transcript has 2 exons. Lineage: Eukaryota; Viridiplantae; Streptophyta; Magnoliopsida; Ranunculales; Papaveraceae. The record is from RefSeq and is a predicted model, not a curated record.